GAUCAUUAUUGAAAUAAACCUGAUGGGUUGCUGCUGGUUCUCUAGGGAGCAUGUGCACGCUUGUCAUCUUUAUAUCUCCACCUGUGCACCUUUUGUAGACCUGGAUCUUUUUCUGAAUGCCUAGCAUUUAGGUUUGGGGAUUGACUUUUUGUCUUUCCUUGCAUUUUCAGGCCUAUGUUUCUUCAUAUACCCAUGUAUGUUAUAGAAUGUAGUAAAUGGGCCUUUGUGCCUAUAAACCUAUACAACUUUCAGCAACGGAUCUCUUGGCUCUCGCAUCGAUGAAGAACGCAGCGAAAUGCGAUAAGUAAUGUGAAUUGCAGAAUUCAGUGAAUCAUCGAAUCUUUGAACGCACCUUGCGCUCCUUGGUAUUCCGAGGAGCAUGCCUGUUUGAGUGUCAUUAAUAUAUCAGCCUCUUCAGCUUUUGCUUGUUGAGCGUUGGAUGUGGGGGUUUCUUUUGCUGGCCUCUUCUGAGGUCGGCUCCCCUGAAAUGCAUUAGCGAAACAUUCUGUUGACCGUUCAUUGGUGUGAUAACUAUCUACGCUAUUGACGUGAAGCAGGUUUGGCUUCUAACAGUCCAUUGACUUGGACAAUUUUUCAUUAAUGUGACCUCAAAUCAGGUAGG
Molecule: ribosomal RNA, 622 nt
Filed under: uncultured Cortinarius
Lineage: Eukaryota; Fungi; Basidiomycota; Agaricomycetes; Agaricales; Cortinariaceae
Description: eukaryotic LSU rRNA
Rfam family: 5.8S ribosomal RNA (bases 244-397)
Source: RNAcentral